Molecule: ribosomal RNA, 494 nt
Filed under: uncultured bacterium
Lineage: Bacteria
Description: partial 16S ribosomal RNA
Rfam family: Bacterial small subunit ribosomal RNA
Source: RNAcentral
GACGAACGCUGGCGGCGUGCUUAACACAUGCAAGUCGAACGGUGAAGCGCCUUCCUUUUUGGUGGGUGUGGAUGAGUGGCGAACGGGUGAGUAACACGUGAGUAACCUGCCCCCUUCUUCUGGAUAACCGCAUGAAAGUGUGGCUAAUACGGGAUAUUCUGGGUCUGUCGCAUGAUUGGUCUGGGAAAGAUAUUGUUUCGGUGGGGGAUGGGCUCGCGGCCUAUCAGCUUGUUGGUGGGGUGAUGGCCUACCAAGGCGGUGACGGGUAGCCGGCCUGAGAGGGUGGACGGUCACACUGGGACUGAGACACGGCCCAGACUCCUACGGGAGGCAGCAGGGGGGAAUAUUGCACAAUGGGCGCAAGCCUGAUGCAGCGACGCCGCGGGAGGGAUGGAGGCCUGCGGGUUGUGAACCUCUUUCGCCAGUGAAGCAGGCCUGCCUCGUUUGUGGGUGGGUUGACGGUAGCUGGAUAAGAAGCGCCGGCUAACUACGUG